GAUGAACGCUGGCGGCGUGCCUAAUACAUGCAAGUCGAGCGAACGGACGAGAAGCUUGCUUCUCUGAUGUUAGCGGCGGACGGGUGAGUAACACGUGGAUAACCUACCUAUAAGACUGGGAUAACUUCGGGAAACCGGAGCUAAUACCGGAUGAUAUUUUGAACCGCAUGGUUCAAAAGUGAAAGGCGGUCUUGCUGUCACUUAUAGAUGGAUCCGCGCUGCAUUAGCUAGUUGGUAAGGUAACGGCUUACCAAGGCAACGAUGCAUAGCCGACCUGAGAGGGUGAUCGGCCACACUGGAACUGAGACACGGUCCAGACUCCUACGGGAGGCAGCAGUAGGGAAUCUUCCGCAAUGGGCGAAAGCCUGACGGAGCAACGCCGCGUGAGUGAUGAAGGUCUUCGGAUCGUAAAACUCUGUUAUUAGGGAAGAACAUAUGUGUAAGUAACUGUGCACAUCCUGACGGUACCUAAUCAGAAAGCCACGGCUAACUACGUG
Molecule: ribosomal RNA, 497 nt
Filed under: uncultured bacterium
Lineage: Bacteria
Description: partial 16S ribosomal RNA
Rfam family: Bacterial small subunit ribosomal RNA
Source: RNAcentral